UGUUUCGUGGUUCUUUGUUUAGGUUCCUUACCGAGCUGUAACUGGGUCAUUCUACAGAAACGUCCACUUUUGAUCUUUAAAAAAUAGGAAGGAGGAAGUCGUCAUCAGGUUUUUAUUUUUCUCAAAUGGCUAGGGACAGAAAAAUGGACGUUUCUGUAGAAUGACCCAACUGCUGACUGAUCUGGAAAAAACCUUAAGCACCUGAUGGCUUUAGACCGUUUCUACAGUUGUCAGAUUUUAAGUAAAAUAUCACUGCAAAUGCAUAAAGUCAGAGACGAGCGCUCAUGCGUCACAUGAAAGUCUUUGCUGCCCUCUGGUGCACAACGUGAGGUCCUGACCGUAGGAUGAGCUGGGGGCAUCAACCGUCAGACCCCCCUGUGGCUCUGGUGGCAGCACACCUCUCUCCUGGAGCCUCAUGACAUACCUGCCGACAUGCAUUGGUGGGAGAAGUGAAGCCUUUGCACAUCGGCUGUUGGGUUGCUAAGAGGGACACCUGAAGCCCCGAGGAAGAACCGGUCCUUGUCGUCUCUAUCUGGAGCUUGGGCCUUUAAAUAUUCUGGCCGGAUAUGAACAAACUCCUUUGGACAGCGUUACAGUGACUCCGUCUGCCUCUGGCACUCUGUCGUUCCACUCCUAGAAAAAGAGGCCUGAUGACUCCAGUCCUCCCAGACGUCCCUGGAAACCCCCACGUCCAUCAUAUAGUUGAAGAAGGCCUGCUGCCUUUCAGUCAGCCUCUCUCUGGCAUCGGAUCUCUCUGGCCAGAAUGGCUCCAGGAUCUCGUCCAGGGGUAUUGCUGGAAUGUCCCUUUUAAUUUCUGCAGGAGUCCAGUCCUCCUCCCAGACGCCCCUGGAAACCCCUUCGUUGAGGACCGUCGUCGCGUUCGUCUCCAGGUUUCUCCGAUCUGACAGAAAUAUCAGGAGCACGUCCAUCAUAUAGUUGAAGAAGGCCUGCUGCCUUUCAGUCAGCCUCUCCCGUGCAUCUGAUCUCUCUGGCCAGAAUGGCUCCAGGAUCUCGUCCAGCUCUUCGGACCGUCUCUGCUUCCGUUCAGGAGCACACUCGGCCGAGGAAGCUGGUCUCUUCUGGCCUCCUGAGUGUGCAGGAGCACCGCUGCCCUUUCCUUCCAGCUGCUUUCUCAGCUCCUCUAUCUCUUGGCCUUGCUCUGCUACGCGUGAUUUUAAGGCGCUGAGCUCGGUCUUAAGUGCAGCCAUGUCACUGAUCAUCUGGUGAUCUAGUGAUUCACGGAGGCUUUUGUUACUUUCUUUUAAUUUCUGAAAUUCCUCACUUGCAAACUUUUCCAGGGAAUUCAGCCGACCAAUCAUCGACUCCUCGAAAGGCAAGUCCAGGUCAUCUUCCGAGCUGCUAAUCUGUAAUUUUUCUUAUGAUAGGAAAGCACAGAAAAUUAUAACUGCAAUGAUGCGGCGGAAUCAACAAGUCCACUUUGAGUGACAGCCGGGCUCCCGCUCCUCUGACGAGCGCUCCUGGAGACACGCCCCCAGCGGAAGACGACAGGUAGUUCACCACGGGACCGUAAUGUCUGACAGCCUAAUAUGAAGCACACUGUCACAUUUCAGUCCACACUGGAAGUACGCGUCAAGGGGGCAAAAAAGUCAGCAACAAGUUAUCAGUAACUUCAUGAGACUUUAUUUAGGCUCUCUGUCCUGGAGCAGAUGCUGGAGACGGCAGUGCCGGAGGAGCGGCACACUAACACCUCUGCUGCCCUCUAGUGGACAAGGAAAAGCGCAAGAUGGACUAUUUACAUUUGAUGGAAUUGAGAAACUGAAGUGCCUCAAUAAAGAUGAAUUAUGUUUCUGAAA
Molecule: long non-coding RNA, 1814 nt
Organism: Carassius gibelio (silver crucian carp)
Lineage: Eukaryota; Metazoa; Chordata; Actinopteri; Cypriniformes; Cyprinidae
Exons: 11
Source: RefSeq, a predicted model, not a curated record